GACGAACGCUGGCGGCGUGCCUAAUACAUGCAAGUCGAACGCAUUUUCUUUCACCGUAGCUUGCUACACCGAAAGAAAAUGAGUGGCGAACGGGUGAGUAACACGUGGGUAACCUGCCCAUCAGCGGGGGAUAACACUUGGAAACAGGUGCUAAUACCUCAUAAUUCCAUUUACCGCAUGGUAAGUGGAUGAAAGGCGCUUUUGCGUAACUGUUGGAUGGACCCGCGGUGCAUUAGCUAGUUGGUGGGGUAACGGGCUACCAAGGCUGCGAUGCAUAGCCGACCGGGGAGGGGGAUCGGCCACACUGGGACUGAGACACGGCCCAGACUCCUACGGGAGGCAGCAGGAGGGAAUCUUCGGCAAUGGACGCAAGUCUGACCGAGCAACGCCGCGUGAAUGAAGAAGGUUUUCGGAUCGGAAAACUCUGUUGUUAGAGAAGAACAAGGAUGAGAGUGGAAAGUUCAUCCCUUGACGGUAUCUAACCAGAAAGCCACGGCUAACUACGUG
Molecule: ribosomal RNA, 507 nt
Filed under: uncultured bacterium
Lineage: Bacteria
Description: partial 16S ribosomal RNA
Rfam family: Bacterial small subunit ribosomal RNA
Source: RNAcentral